UGGGGAAUAUUGGACAAUGGGGGGAACCCUGAUCCAGCCAUGCCGCGUGUGUGAAGAAGGCCUUAUGGUUGUAAAGCACUUUAAGCGAGGAGGAGGCUCUUCUAGUUAAUACCUAGGAUGAGUGGACGUUACUCGCAGAAUAAGCACCGGCUAACUCUGUGCCAGCAGCCGCGGUAAUACAGAGGGUGCGAGCGUUAAUCGGAUUUACUGGGCGUAAAGCGUGCGUAGGCGGCUUUUUAAGUCGGAUGUGAAAUCCCCGAGCUUAACUUGGGAAUUGCAUUCGAUACUGGGAAGCUAGAGUAUGGGAGAGGAUGGUAGAAUUCCAGGUGUAGCGGUGAAAUGCGUAGAGAUCGGGAGGAAUACCGAUGGCGAAGGCAGCCAUCUGGCCUAAUACUGACGCUGAGGUACGAAAGCAUGGGGAGCAAACAGG
This 430-nucleotide ribosomal RNA is filed under the name Bacillota bacterium. RNAcentral's name for it is "Firmicutes bacterium partial 16S ribosomal RNA". It matches the Rfam family "Bacterial small subunit ribosomal RNA", at positions 355 to 776 of the family's 1533-position model. The record is from RNAcentral. Lineage: Bacteria; Bacillati; Bacillota.